CCCGAGGACUCGAAAGGUGAACGAAUCUUUUCUGUUUACUGAUCCGAUGCGAUGUUGCGCAUGCGCAGUCAACACAAAAUGAACGAAUCACUCUCCGAGACGACUCGAUGUUCUCGAGUCAUGGGAAAGAUCCGUUCAAAAUGAACGAAUCGUUCGUGAACGACACAUCACUAAUUGGGAGAUUUCCAGUCCGUUCACUACAGGGUGCGGCCAGUGAGUGAAGACGGAAGCCGAGCAGUUCCGUGUGGUUUGUUUUGCUUCGUCACUGCACCCCGAGUUACAGAGCAUUUAUUGUCUGAAAGGGUUGUAAGAAAAUUGGGAAAAAAAGAAAUGUAGACAAACAUGCCCAUGUUUUGAGAAAUUUAUUUAUUCUACAGAGGAGAAGAAGAAGAAGAAGAAGAAGAAGAGAUCUAUAUUAGAUGAUUUAGAGCUGAGGAAGAAGUGGAAGCAAGAAAUAACUACAGUUCUGAUUAAGAUGAGCUCCAACACCAGCUUGAAGAUUUUCAGUCUUCAAACAGCAAUCGGAGGAAACCCACUUCAGAUCUUUUCACCAUCCAGCUCAUAUUCACUUAAAGGAACGUAAUCAUGAAGUAUGGCAAACUUGCAGCUGCAGGAUGUUUAGUAAUUCUUCUUCCAUUGUUAGCCUUAAUUGUACUUGUGAUAUGUGUACGCUGCUUAUCAGGGGGCCAUGAAGAGUUUAAAAUGAAAGAAAUUUGGCUUACCGACCCCCUACCCCCCACUUCAUUUUGUGUAUCUAAAUCUUCCCCAUUACAACCAGUAACUGAUAAUGCAUGCUUUAUCCUUUUCUAUCCCAUAACCAUCAUAAUCAUUAUAUCAGACCCACCCAGUUUAACAGCUGGAUUUCUUUUAAUGAAAUUCUUGUAAUGUAAGAAAAAUAAAACGAAGAAGGCGUUGAAGAUCGCAGUCGACAAAAUACAUAAAUUACUUUGGGUUCAUCGGAGUCAAAAAGAACGCAGGACAAAUCCUGCUCAGAUAUUUUAUACAGUGUUUCCUGUGUGUAAUUUAAAUGAGUUUCACAUUAAAUGUAAAUUAGUGUAAGAACUGUGUAUUCCCCAAAAUGGCCGGGUGAUACUGUCGUCUAGCCGGAUGUCCUUAAAUGGUAAUCACAGUAACGUACACCUUGGCUAGGUAUUGUUAUAGGUGUUAUCACUCAAAUGGUCGGGCGAUACUAAAUGGUCAUCACGGUCACAUACACCCUUUGUUCAGUGAUGGUUCUUGAUGUCUUGCUGCCGCUCCCAUACUAAUAAUUGAUUGGAUUAAGUGUUCUAAAUGUUUGGUAAGGUUCCUUUAAGCCUAUGUAAAAAUACCAUAAAGAUAAGCUGAAUUGAAUUUAAUAUAUUUCUAUAUGAUAUGUAAACCUUUUUUGGGAAUGAGUUCUUUCAGAUGUGUACUGUGGAGUGGAAUCUGGGUUGAGGCAGUCUGUAGUUUCUUACAGUCCCCCCCUUGAUGCUUUUGGCCCUGAAGCAUCACAACACUUCCUUUACACAGAUUACACCUCCCAUUUCAGGCAGGUGCCCAGUGGCGGUGAAGCCCUGCAGUGGGUUGUCUUCAUUCGGCCCUCAGAGAAUCUUACCGGUCAUCGAAACAUCACCUCAUGCACACUGAUUAUGGCUCCAUUCUACUAGGCAAACUUAUCACAAUGUUUCUUCUUAAAAUUUGGUUCUAUGUACAAAUAUUUCUUGGGUUUGGAGCAGAGGCACUCAGGAACCAUCAUAGCCAAUGAGAACAUCCUACAUUGAUUAUUGAAGUAUCUGCAAUCUGACAUUUCAAUAUGGAACACACAUACAGCAUAGCAUAAUGCACUGACAAAUGAGGAAGAUGCAUUCACAAACAGCAGUUUUCUGACUGAAAUAGGCUUCCUUACUAUGAUUUACUGGAAGGUGUCCUGUUAGGUGGUCUGUUGGUCAGCAGGUUGCAACAGUACUGUGAUACAUCAGGAAUGGUGUUGUCCAGAAGUCCUUUACAUUCAUGUCACACUCUCUCCGUAGCACUGUUCAUCCAUGUCUGGAAACCAUGCUGUAAGAUUCACCUGGGCUGGAACAUGGAUCCAUUGUAGGUCAUUGAUUAGUGCUUUGGGAUAGGGGCUCGUCACUACACACAGAGGUUUAGGGGUAGGGUCCACCAUCCUGGUCCAUCACCACAUCUUUAUUUCUUGUUUUGUUAGGGAAAAACACUUGCAAACAUAAUGAAUUUAUCCAUGUAUGAGUGGCAUCAGAUUUUUAUGGUUUUUAAUUGACUGUUGUGGGACCAUCUCUUAACAGGCUGUUGGUAUUUAGUUUUGUGGCAGAGCUUGUAAACUGAAUUGCUGCAUGGUCUCAAACAGUUAGUGGACCAUGUUCCCUCAGGUUGGUAGGUCUUUACCAUUACCUCAUCACUAGUUUCAAAUUUGUGAUGAUGCACUUCCUGAACAAAAGACAUCUUCUUUUUCUGACCAUACCAAAUUUGCUGAGUGGCUUGACGAUAAAUAGCAGGCAAAGAGUUACACAGAUUUUUGGGCUCCUCACUCAGUCUGUUUACAGUGGCCUGUAGCUGAUCAGUUUUCGAUCUUUCUUAAGAGAAAAUUUUUGGAAAUAUGUCCUUCCUUGCCAUAUCAAUAACUAGGACGUUAUCAGGGUUACAAGGCGGUGGUCUUUCCUUUUUAUAUCCAGUAGCUUGGUCCUCAUUUCUACAGGAAAUCUUCCGGCCUCUAUUCCUAUGGAGCUUUUUAACACCUACAGCUGACACAGGAUUGGAUCUCUUUAAGUUAGCAUGGCUGUUGUAAAAGUGUGUCAUUUUAGAAAUGAUGUCAUUAUAGUCAGAGAGAUGGGUCACAAACAUUGUUACAGCAGAACGAGUGUGUGGAUCACAUUUAUUAAUCAAAGCAGAUUGGAAACUGACGUCAUUCUGAGUAAUGUUAGGAUUACCACUGAAAGUUUUGAAUACCUCCAAUAAACCCUCUGACCAUAGAAGAGGUCAUUGGUACCUCCCCUCCUUCACUAGCAUGCAUCGAUUGGUGCCAUGGGAAAUCUAACUGUACAGUCAGAGUACUGACUACUGACCAACCGAGAAUCUCUUUCCGAAUUUGCAUCACCAUCUUCAUGCAAAUCUGUCAUUUGUGGAACUUGGUUACACAACAUGCUACCUUAUUGGUGUUUUUCUCAGUUGUGCAAUUUUUGAUUAGAAAUUGACAAGCAGCCUUUUAAACUUUACAGAGCUGCGGUGCGUCGGGCUCAAUACACGAUCACCAGUUUCAGUUUCUAGUUAUAAUUCAGCUGCCACACUGCGUCGGGCUGAUUCACUUACUUUAGAAUUAUAACAACUACACAACAAGUUUCAGUUACUUUAGAGACAACGAUUCCAAUACAACUCUGUCACCGCAGUGCAUCGGGUUAAUUCAGUUCCGUUAGAAUCUCAAACAGAAAUGUACAGAAUAGGCUUAUGAACUCCUGCUUCUGCUCAAUAACUCUACUCUAAUUUCUAUUCUGCCCUUAACUUUUCUUUUCUAGAUUUUUUAAACGAGGGGUUUCCUAAAUAAAACAGUAAAAGAAAAAAAAAACGUUUUUCUUAUCUUUCCCCACUUUUUUCGGAAAUCCCACGCUGGGUGGCUCACCAAUGUAAUAAAAAUGUAAGCCUUUUUUGGGAAUGAGCUCUUUCAGAUGUGUACUGUGGAGUAAUCUGGGUUGAGGCAGUCUGUAGUUUCUUACAUCAACCCAAAAUAUCUUUGUAUAAAUUCAAUGAAAAAAAAAAUAAAAAUUGUUUAUUCAUUACUACAGAAUUCACAGGAGUAAUCAAUAAUUCAAUUUAAAAUACACCACCAGUGAAAAGUUUGGACACCUUCUAAUCCCAUGGUGUUUCCUGAUGUUUAUUUCUCUCUACAUUGUAAAACAAUGCUGAAGGCGGCCGAAAUCCACAAUAAUGUCCUUUGAACAGUUGAUAUUGAGAUAUGUCUGCUACUGAUGCUGUGUAAAGCCUUCAUAACGCCUCUAAUCUGAGGUGCUGUUAAUUGGUGAUUUCUGAGGCUGGUCACUCUAAAUGAACUUCUCCUCUGCAGCAGAGGUCAGUUUUGGUCUUGCUUUACUGGGAUGGUCUUCAUGUGAGACAGUUUCAUCAUGGGGCUUGAUGGGUUUUGCAAAUGCACUUGACAAUACUGUUCUUGUAAGAACUAUUCCAGAACACCUGACCUUCGUGUCUUAAAAUAACAACUGACUGGUUUUUGUUGUCAUUACAUAUGGAUUACUGAAGUCCAUGUGUGUUAUUUCAUAGUUUUGAAAUCUCCAGGAUUGUUCUAGAAUGUAGAAAAUAAAUCCCUAAACAAAAAACACUGAAUUAAAAGGUGUGUCCAAACUUUUGACUGGUAGUGUACAUGUUUCACUGGAUAAAUUCUAUGCAAUAUUUUAUACAAAACAUCCUUUACUUUAUUAUUAACAAAGAAUUUAUCAACCAUUCU
Hemibagrus wyckioides is the source of this 4447-nucleotide RNA transcript. It is a transcript of the gene named apolipoprotein L2-like, with no coding region annotated. The record is from RefSeq and is a predicted model, not a curated record. The transcript is spliced from 2 exons. Lineage: Eukaryota; Metazoa; Chordata; Actinopteri; Siluriformes; Bagridae.